GACCAUCUUAAAUUUUGCUUUUACUCAAAGGGUUUUAUCCUUUUGCUUUCCCUUCAAAUCGUUUCGGGGAGUUUUCAUAAGUUUUAAGUUUUUUUGUUGGGUUUAUGUUAACUUUUGCAGAGAACAAGAAAGUGGGUUGGCUUUAGAAAUGGUUCUUUGGUUUUCUCAUCCUAUAUAGCUUGUUUUCCUUUGGUAUUUCUGUGGCUUUCGGUAAUUUCAACUACUAGGAUGAGAUUCUCGUAUUUUGUAAAAUUUUUGGAUUUCUCGUUUAUUUCCUGAAUCCUAAUGUGAAGACAUUGUGAUUGGGAAGGAUUGAGUUUUCGAUCCGAUUGCCUGGUUCAGUGAUUAGUAUUUUCUCGUGAUUGACAACCGAAAAAUUUUAUGGUUUAAUGGAGCUUUGGUUCGGAUUUCUUUCACUUUUUCCAAAUCUUUUGAAUUUUUUUGUUUGUCCCCUGAAUCCUAACGUUAAGAUAUUGUGAUUCUUGGCAUGAGUAUAGAUUGGAUUAUUCCACGAAUAUUUGGAAGGAUUAAAUUGAAUGUUUGGAGCCAUUACCUGGUCCAAAUCUGUUCUUCUGGUGUUUUCAUGAUGUUGAUGCCUCAUUGAUCUUGAAUCUUUUUCAUGAUUCUUGGUUUAUUUUGUGGUAUAUUCUCCCUUGCUUUGACCAAUAUUGCUUUUAGUGGUCUUUGUUCACGCUUUUGGUAAUUUGAAGUGAUUUCAAUCACUGGAUAUAGGUUCAUGCAAUUUUUCCUCUAUAUAGAUUAUAG
This 765-nucleotide long non-coding RNA is filed under the name Olea europaea subsp. europaea. The record is from RNAcentral. Lineage: Eukaryota; Viridiplantae; Streptophyta; Magnoliopsida; Lamiales; Oleaceae.